This 2082-nucleotide unclassified non-coding RNA is filed under the name Hevea brasiliensis (rubber tree). Lineage: Eukaryota; Viridiplantae; Streptophyta; Magnoliopsida; Malpighiales; Euphorbiaceae. The record is from RNAcentral.
CCAAGAUAGAAGGGCAAUAUCAGUUGUGUGGUGGCAUUAUAAAAGCAUUAGAGAGCAGCGUAGAAGAACCUUAAAAAUCAUGGCUCUGAUGAGGAGUUGGGGGGCACUAAUGUUAUUGAGAUUUUCUAAAAAAAGAAGGAAGCAAGGAGUUUGAAACUAGAACAAAAUUAGAAGAUAAUGAGGACUUGAAGAGGAGGACAAUGCAAGGCUCCAGGCAGUGGCCGAGAUAACCCAACAAAUCAAAUUAAGAGGAGAAUGUAAUGAAACGAUUUUUUUUUUAAGAAACUCAAAAGACUAAAGGUUAGUGGAAGGGAAUUUCAUUGUUUGCCUCUAGAGUUUGAUUUUCAGUUGUAGGGUUGAGCACUAUAAACUCUUGCAAGACAGCCAUUUUAUGUACUAUGACAUACAAAAUUUUAGAGUCUUUAGUUUAAUUUCUUUGUCAACAACAUUUCUUCUUUUCCUUGGAGAAUUUUUAUGGUACCAGUGAGUGAUAUAAAUUGACUUUGUCUAACAAAACUCUCUCUCAGCAUAGUGGGUAUCCUAUUCCUAGAGGAGAGUUAAAUACACAAGAGUCUUCCUUUUGCAUUGCAAGGAGACAAUUUCCAUGCUCAUAAAGGGUGUCCUAGGGGAGAGUCAGAUGCAGUCAACCUUUGCCUUACAUAGCUAGGAGGCAAUUUUACAUGGUUUGAACCUGUGACCACCAAGUCAUCAUUCAGCAUCUUCACAGUUACUCUAGUCCAAGACUCUCUCUCAAUUAAUGAACCAGCUUCCCAUCCUUCAUAUUUACAUACUGAUAUUUUCACAUAUAAAUUGUUAGAAAUGAUAAGAGAUGUAGGCAUAUAAUUUGAGAGAAGAAAAUAUUAUUAGCAAUGAAUAAAGAGAUGGCCUAGCACAGAGACAUGCAGUGAGAUAGCACUAUAUCCAGCCAUUGGAAAAUGUUGGGAUAGGUGUUGCAGCAGUAGUCAAACAAACAACUAGCGCAACCCACUAAUGUAUCACUACUGCUUAAUGUCCAAAAGGCACAACGCAAGUAUAAAAUAAAACGAUUCAGCGGCAUCAAUGCGCAUCUAUGAGCCACAUUCGAGCCAUAAAAUAGUAAAAUCAAAAUAUACCAGUUGACAGUGCAUGGUUCUCUCUCAAAAAUGUAAACAUUCACAAAGACAGGUGAAACUACAGACGAUUAAUUUGAGAAUAUGUUCAGUUGUUAACAAAUUGGAUUUAAGAAAAGCAAAUACCUAAACAAGUUCUAUAUAUGCCAUGGGUGCAUUGUCCCCUCGCCGCGGCAGAGUUCUAAUAAUUCUGGUAUAUCCACCAUUUCUGUCGCCGUACCUGUCCGGGACCUCCGCAAACAAGGCAUGGACGAUCUGCUUUUCAUAAAUGAAGCCCAGAGCUUGUCUUCUCUUGUGGAGAGACCCAUCCUUGGCCAAAGUAAUCAUCUUGUCAACAUACUUUCUCAUGGCGCUGGCCCGAGCUCUAGUGGUUUUGAUCCGUCCAUGUUUAAGGAGCUGAGUAGUGAGGCCUCUAAGAAGUGCCCGGCGUUGGUCAGGAGGCCGAUUGAGCUUUGGAACUCGUCUGCCGUGUCUCAUGGCGAAAAAUCGAGACCCAUUAUCAAUAGAAGGGAACCCAUGUUCAAAACUGGUACACUCCGAGAAACCAAUGGAAAGGAUAGGGUUUAGAGGAGAAAGACCCGUGAAGGAGCGGAGAAAGAGGGGCUUUUGGCGGCGGGAGAGGCAGAGAGCACGGGAACGUAAAGAUGGGAAUCGCACUGCGGCGGUGACUGAAGAAGAAUAAGAAGAAGAAGGAGAAGGGAGUGCUGAUAUUAGAGAUGCCAUGCUCCAUCUCCAUCUACUAUCGCUCCCACAGGCCGCUGCCAUUGCCAUUACCAUUGUUUUCUUGCUUCCACUCUGCUACUACUUACCAUCAACAAAAAUAGUAGGCUGUGAGCUGUGAACUAGAGGAUCAGAUGAAAACAUGGAUAAGAUUCAGGAAUAAAAAGCAGACAGCAAUUGCUUCUGUGUGUCAAUUUGGGCCUCUUCCAGCCCAUCAUUUUUCGGCAAAUGCCUGCCCAGCGGAAUAUAUUUC